Long non-coding RNA from Paramisgurnus dabryanus, 824 nucleotides. RefSeq lists it as uncharacterized. The record is from RefSeq and is a predicted model, not a curated record. NCBI's taxonomy places the organism in Eukaryota, Metazoa, Chordata, Actinopteri, Cypriniformes, Cobitidae.
ACACAAUACAUUAAUUUGUGAGCUGUUCAAAUGUUUAUCUGCAGGUACAACACCAAAUAAUGACUUUACUGGAUCUGGUGGGAGUCUUAACAUUAAAAAUUGCUCAUAAAGUCUCAUUUAUUUUAGACCAAUAGGGUGAUGUGAGGACAGUUCCAAAAUGUAUGUGACAAUGAAGCAGGGGCGUAGCCACAAGAGGCGUCCACUCACAGAAACAUCUUGGACAGUCUUUGUUUGGAUAGGUGCAACCGGUGCAGGAUUUUAAACUGCAGCAGACCAUGUCUGAUGCAAACUGAAGAGGAGUGUUUACUUCAAGUAUUCUUUUAUAUGGACAGUCUUGACCACCACAAUACUGCAGUGCCAUUGACAUCGUAGCAGCAACCGGCCAAAGCACCAAAGCAGGGACCAUUUUUGUAUUCGAGACCAACUCAUUCGAGUCUGAGUCAAGACCGAGUCCAGAGAUGGUUGAGUCCGAGUCAAGACCGAGUCCAGAGAGGGUUGAGUCCAAGUCAAGACUGAGACCAGAGAAGGUCGAGUCUGAGUCAUGACCGAGUCCACGUAAGACUUUUGCACAAUACUGUAUAGUUGAAAAUUUUAAUUAAUAAAUAAAUGUUAUUAUGGUAUUGUGUAAAUGAUUAUCACCAACCACAUAAUAAUUUCUCUUCUAAGAUAUAAAUCAAGAAUAAAAUAUAAAUAAUACAGAAAUUUAUGUAGACUAAAUUUACAAUACUGUGCUGACUCGUUUACUGAUGGAAUUAUGUGUUGUGCCACUGUGUUUUAGCCCCACUGUCUUAUUAUUUUGGGUAACAGACGGCUUAUCUAAUGCU